RNAcentral lists this ribosomal RNA (423 nucleotides) under uncultured bacterium. RNAcentral describes it as "partial 16S ribosomal RNA". It matches the Rfam family "Bacterial small subunit ribosomal RNA", at positions 360 to 775 of the family's 1533-position model. The record is from RNAcentral.
AAUUUUGGACAAUGGGGUAAACGCUGAUCCAGCCAUGCCGUGUGUAUGAUGAAGGCAUUCGGGUUGAAAAGUACUUUUGGCAGAGAAGAAAAGGUAUCUCCUAAUCCGAGAUACUGCUGACGUUACCUGCAGAAUAAGCACCGGCUAACUACGCGCCAGAAGCCGAGGUAAUACGUAGGGUGCAAGCGUUAAUCGGAAUUACUGGGCGUAACGCGUGUGUAUGCGGUUCGGAAAGAAAGAUGUGAAAUCCAAGGGCUCAACCUUGGAACUGCAUUUUUAACUGCCGAGCUAGAGUAUGUCAGAGGGGGGUAGAAUUCCACGUGUAGCAGUGAAAUGCGUAGAUAUGUGGAGGAAUACCGAUGGCGAAGGCAGCCCCCUGGGAUAAUACUGACGCUCAGACACGAAAGCGUGGGGAGCAAACAG